RNAcentral lists this ribosomal RNA (311 nucleotides) under uncultured Vibrio sp. Its description in RNAcentral is "bacterial SSU rRNA". It matches the Rfam family "Bacterial small subunit ribosomal RNA", at positions 67 to 382 of the family's 1533-position model. Lineage: Bacteria; Pseudomonadati; Pseudomonadota; Gammaproteobacteria; Vibrionales; Vibrionaceae. The record is from RNAcentral.
CUUCGGGGGACGUUAACGGCGUCGAGCGGCGGACGGGUGAGUAAUGCCUAGGAAAUUGCCCUGAUGUGGGGGAUAACCAUUGGAAACGAUGGCUAAUACCGCAUGAUGCCUACGGGCCAAAGAGGGGGACCUUCGGGCCUCUCGCGUCAGGAUAUGCCUAGGUGGGAUUAGCUAGUUGGUGAGGUAAGGGCUCCCCAAGGCGACAAUCCCUAGCUGGUCUGAGAGGAGAUCAGCCACACUGGGAACUGAAACCCGGUCCAGACUCCUACGGGAAGGCAGCAGUGGGGGAAUAUUGCCCAAUGGGCGCAAGC